This 425-nucleotide long non-coding RNA is filed under the name Olea europaea subsp. europaea. Lineage: Eukaryota; Viridiplantae; Streptophyta; Magnoliopsida; Lamiales; Oleaceae. The record is from RNAcentral.
UGCAGGAAUACGAUCUGGUCAUCUGGAUGUGAGAGGUCUUGGAUUUUCACCUGGUAGUUCUUGGGUGGAUGCUCAAGGUUGUGUCGCUUCAGUCCCAUUGAAAAUGGCAAGUUAGGGCCAACCAAUAUCUCUAUUCGCAGGUGCCCCAAAAAUAGAGGAACCCCCCCCCCCCCUCGGCAAAAUACAUUCACUAGGUCCUGAAACGUCUUUUCAUAAAGCUCCUGUCGGCGGUGAGUGAUCCCGAAACAGCAUUGAUUAAGCAUAAAUGUGAGAAUCAAGAAAUCAAUUUAACGAGAAUAUAGUUUAUCUCAUAUAAUUUAACUCAAACUCUAAUGAUCGGCGGACUUGAAGCUAAGUUUUGCUUCUAUACUUGUGAUGAUGUCUAGAAGUUUCAAGCGGUGUGAUUUUCAUUAGGAUUACGUGAU